AAUCUGCUACAUAUCUUAACCUAACCCUAACCCUACCUUCAUACAAAUUCAGUUCAAAUUCAAAAAUUAAAUUAGGUUACACUUUAUUUUAAGGUGUCCUUGUUACAUUGUAAUUAUACUUACUAUAUGGUUAAGUUUAGGAUUUGGAUUUGGUUUAGGGUUACUUGCAUGUAAUUAUGCAUAAUUUAUUGUUUUUAUAAUUGUAAGUACAUGUAACGUGUAACGAGGGCACCAUAAAAUACAUUGAAAUACAUUCAAUUUAAAAUUGAGUACUGAAUGGUACUUAACCUCGGAUCGCAGACUCCAUAGAGAUAGUAGUCUGUCUGUGGUACAGGUAACUGGUGUUUGUUCUCUUUCCAGCCUGUCAUGAAAUUAUGUAAGUGGCCACAAUAGAAUUUGAGAAAGUCAGGCAGGCAUGUGUAGCAGACAGAUGCGUGGAAGGCCCUAGAGGGUCAGCUUUGUGUCAGCUGUGACAGUCACACUGAAAAAGACUACAGAGGCACCUGAGAAAUAAGAGCUGCCAUUCAAACCCAACCUGUCGCUGUGAGCUACAGAGAAAACUGCUCGGAGGACCCCUUCCCCCUCGAUCCAGACUUAAUAUUUCACUAAAUCCUCAUAUUCGGCAUUAGUUUAAGAAAGUACAGAUAAGCCUAAUUUCGGAAACCAUGAAUGGUGUGAAAUCCUUCUCAUUUCCUGGGUCAUUUGCUGGGCCAGUGUUUAGCAUUAGAACAUGCACCUCAUUAUUAUAUAAAACCUCAGCGAGAUACUCUGCUUACCGCUUCUCAUUUGCCUUUGCCGCUAACUUAAAUCAUACUUUACCCAUUUUCACUUUUUAAGUAGCGUCUACGAAGAAAAAAAGCCUAGACAGUAUGCGUCGUUAGAGCUCAUUUUCACACCACAGUGGAACCGAGUCAGUUUCUCUCCAAAUGGACUUUCGUUAAUGUCCGCGGCUCGUUCCCACUUCUCCUUCUCAAUCAUUUCAUCUCUCUCUCUCUCUCUUGGCUUUGAUAACGAACAGCUGAGAGCCAUUUGCACCUCUUCUUGCUUCCUGUGCUUUCUCACGCAUCUUUUUCAUUAUUUCUUACUCCCUAUUUCUUUCUUCUUCCCUCUUUUGUCUCUAGGGACUGUGCACUGUGACUGCUGCCUUUUUGCACUUCUUCUUUCUGGCCUCUUUCUGCUGGGUACUGACAGAGGCAUGGCAGUCCUACCUGGCUGUGAUUGGCAAGAUGAGGUCCCGCCUCAUUCGCAAGCGUUUCCUGUGCCUGGGCUGGGGUCUUCCAGCCCUUGUGGUCGCUGUAUCUGUGGGUUUUACCCGGGCCAGAGGUUACGGCACGCCAAGUUAGUAAGUAUCACUGAUGCAGCACAGUUUCACAAAGACAACAUUUAUGUUACAUUAAAACAUUGUUCUGGUUCUGUUUUGAGGGUUACAGUAUGUCAAGACUCAGUCAAGUCUUUGGAUGUUAAAAUAAAUACAGAAGUACCUACAGUACAUCAAAAAUACAUUAAGAUAUGUACAUGUUACAGUAAUUUUGUAUGAUCACAGAGUACUUGGUAAAAUGGGUAGUGGGACAUAUUGCAUUGUAAGUCGCAUUCAGAAAUAAUGUAAAAUACUGGUAAAUAAAACAAAACAACCACUAUAAAAAUGCA
Cyprinus carpio (common carp) is the source of this 1647-nucleotide long non-coding RNA. The record is from Ensembl. NCBI's taxonomy places the organism in Eukaryota, Metazoa, Chordata, Actinopteri, Cypriniformes, Cyprinidae.